GCCCCCCCCGCUUUUAGAUGUAUAUCCCCUCAACUGGCUUUAAGCGCCAAAACUUGAUGUAAGUCAAACACUAGCC
RNAcentral lists this transfer RNA (76 nucleotides) under Benthosema glaciale. RNAcentral describes it as "tRNA-Leu (CUN)". Lineage: Eukaryota; Metazoa; Chordata; Actinopteri; Myctophiformes; Myctophidae. The record is from RNAcentral.